This 1070-nucleotide unclassified non-coding RNA is filed under the name Hevea brasiliensis (rubber tree). Lineage: Eukaryota; Viridiplantae; Streptophyta; Magnoliopsida; Malpighiales; Euphorbiaceae. The record is from RNAcentral.
GAAACUUAAAUAGCCUUGGUCGGCAGUAGCUAUUUCGGCUGCCGAAACAAUGGUUUUCGGCAGCCGAACUAGGAAAUUUUUAGAAUUCUCUGUUCGAACUGCUAAAAAUCUUCACUCCCAAAAUAAAACCAACACAUGUUUAAAGCUCUAAAAACCCAAAAUCUAACAUGCUCAUAAACCUUAAAACUCUUAACUAGUUUCAAGAAACCCCAAAAUCAAGACAUGCAUCAACCAAAAUUUUAAAAUCCAUAAAAAAAAUCCAUUAAUCAUCAAAGAUUUCAACAAUUAAAACUAAAUUCAAAUGUUCAAAUCUUCAAUUCAAUAUAGAAUUUCCAACUCUAACAUUAUACUAACUUUAAAGAAAUAAACUCGUAACAUGCAUCCAUAGUUCCCUUAACUUUUAAGAAUCCUAAAUUCAAAUUGCUAAAAGAAAAGGAAUUCCAAACCAAAAUACUACUUCAUUGCUCAAAGCUGCAACUCAUGCACUUAAAUCACUUAAUUGGACCCGAAGAAAAAAAGAAACAUUUAGUAGUAACCUCACAUACAAACAACAAAACUUUUCUUCCUUGAAGCUUUAGCUGUACUCUUUGCUCUUGCACCUUAACAGGAUUGUAGGCACCAAAACUUGUUCAAAAGAAGAAAAAUUAUAGAAAAGAAUGAAAAUCUGGGAAGGAUUUGUUCAAUCCUCAGCUGCAUAUAGUAGUAGAGAAAGAAGUUGGUAGUGAGAAAAAUUUUGAAUUUCCUUUGAAGAAAAACGAGCCAUUUAAACCUUUUAUACCCUCGGUUGUAUAGGGCUUUUGGCUUUGGCUGUCCAAAAAAGAGACCUUAUACUUGCAAAAAUUUCAACCCUUAAACUCUCUAACAUAACACUUGUGCUACAUAUAGCACCUUCCAUUAUUUCUGCCGUCCUUAAAACUCUAAGUUUUACUGGAUUUUCCCAACAACAGCAAAAAUUCCGGCAUAGAAAAAUGGUGGAUGUUACAUUAGUAGUGAAGGAAACCAAAUUACACUAGCUAUCAUGCAUGAGGCUUCAUUUUGUACCACAUUCUAGUAUUCCCACAAUACUUAGG